RNAcentral lists this long non-coding RNA (264 nucleotides) under Nicotiana benthamiana. RNAcentral's name for it is "long non-coding RNA (NBEN_LNC036310)". Lineage: Eukaryota; Viridiplantae; Streptophyta; Magnoliopsida; Solanales; Solanaceae. The record is from RNAcentral.
GGGCAAUCAGCAGCAAAUUUGAACACCCAACAAAACUCAAACUCAACACAAAUUUACACACAGCCAAUCCUAGGAUCCAAUUUUGAAUUAUUUUCAAACCCAGACCAGCUCAUAAACUUCAGAACUCGAAAAAUUGCAGAAAUCCAAACAGGAGAGCAAUGGAACAUGAAAACUUCAACCAAGCUGGACCCAAAGCAUUUCUAACACACGAUCAAACCAUUUUUAACUAUAAAGAUUCUGAAAUUGUCCAGUAAUCUACUAAAC